Molecule: long non-coding RNA, 397 nt
Organism: Chroicocephalus ridibundus (black-headed gull)
Lineage: Eukaryota; Metazoa; Chordata; Aves; Charadriiformes; Laridae
Exons: 3
Source: RefSeq, a predicted model, not a curated record
UUGCAGUCGUGGCAGAGGAACCGCAAGUGAUGUUUUGUGUCCCAAAAGAAUGGCUGCCCUGUCCGUUGGGGCUCCCUCUAGAUAAAAAGGCAUGUUUACAAAGAGAAGGAAAAAAAAAAAUGGGUUUGGUUUACUGUUGGUUCAGAUCUGACAUGUUCUGCCAGCAAACGUUGAGCGUACAGUUUGUAAGGGUGAAAACUUGGAGAUCCCAGAGCACGAUUAUGCCACAGCCUGGGAAGCCAGAGAGCUAAAAAACCCAUUCUCCGGUCCUUUACGUCAUCAUUUUAUAUCCCGAGGAAGAAAAUUGGGUCAAAACCCACUUGAACCACAAUGGAAGGUAUUCCACCUCUCGUUACUGGGUUUCUGUCUAAGUGUGAGGUCUACUCUGUCAAGUACC